GCCCAUACAAGGCGCUUCCUUCCCGGCGCGUCUGGCAGACGGCCCGCGGGCGGCUGUGGGCGGGAGCCAGCGGCCAGGGGAUCCGCUGCCAAGGAGGGGGCGGCUGGCGGCGCUGGGAACGCGCGGCCUGGCCUCUUCGCGGCCGGGCCUGGCUGAGGAACCAGCAAGUCCUUACAGGCCCUUCCAACAGCACCUCCAGAGAUUUAAACGUGGUUCAAUCACAUGGUUACUCUGAUCUGUCUGCCUGGAGAUGAGCACAGGUCAGAGUGAGGGACCAGACCUCAGCACAGACCAAACCAGCAGCAGCAGCUCAAACGCCACCCUCCAGCUCUUCCAGAAGUGCAACACAUCAUCAACGUACAGGCAUUCUGGUGGACCAACCCGUGAGACCCUGACUGUUCUGCUUCAGUUAAAACAAAAGAAAACACUGGAAUAGGAUAAAUAGGUCUGGAGGAAAAAAAAAAGAAAGAUUACAUUCUGCCAAAAGAGAUAUAUGAAUGGCCAAUAAGCACUUGAAAAGAUGCUCAACAUCAUUAGCCUUCAGGAAAAUGCAAAUAAAAACCAGAAUGACAUCAGCAAUGAACAAUCCAAAAAGGAAAUUAAUAAAACAAUUCUACAUUAGCAUUCAAAAGAAUGCCUAGGCAUAAAUUUAACCAAGGAAGUAAAACAUUUGUACACAGAAAACUACAGAACGCAGUUGAAGGAAACUAAAGACCUAAAUAAAUGGAAAGACAUACUAUA
This is a long non-coding RNA of Neofelis nebulosa (Clouded leopard), 741 nucleotides long. RefSeq lists it as uncharacterized. Lineage: Eukaryota; Metazoa; Chordata; Mammalia; Carnivora; Felidae. The record is from RefSeq and is a predicted model, not a curated record. The transcript is spliced from 3 exons.